CCUCCGCCUGGGGCAAAGAGCGGCGACCCGGCACCCCAGGCGCCCCCGCGCAGGGAGCGCGGGAGGAAGGGAAGAGCCAGUGUAGAGGAGAGGCCUCAGAGCAAAGCACCUGGGAGAAACGGCUACUGGAGGAGCCUUCCAAGGUCAUCAAGGAAAAAUGCUUCUCGGUGACAUAUGCUCCCUUAUAAUCCAGGUAUGUUUUUGGAGAACUUUUCAACUGGUUUUGUUUGUUCUUGGAGGUAG
Molecule: long non-coding RNA, 243 nt
Filed under: Fukomys damarensis (Damara mole-rat)
Lineage: Eukaryota; Metazoa; Chordata; Mammalia; Rodentia; Bathyergidae
Description: lncRNA (ENSFDAG00000026370.1)
Source: RNAcentral